AAACGUAGGGGGCGAGCGUUAUCCGGAAUUAUUGGGCGUAAAGCGCGUGCAGGCGGCUUGGUAGGUUGGACGUGAAAGCUCCUGGCUCAACUGGGAGAGGUCGUUCAAAACCGCCAGGCUUGAGGGUGGAAGAGGGGAGUGGAAUUCCCGGUGUAGUGGUGGAAUGCGUAGAUAUCGGGAGGAACACCAGUGGCGAAAGCGGCUCCCUGGUCCACAUCUGACGCUCAGACGCGAAAGCGUGGGGAGCGAACGGGAUUAGAUACCCCGGUAGUCCACGCUGUAAACGAUGGAUGCUAGGUGUGGGAGGUCUUGACCCCUCCUGUGCCGUAGCUAACGCGUUAAGCAUCCCGCCUGAGGACUACGGCCGCAAGGUUAAA
This 377-nucleotide ribosomal RNA is filed under the name uncultured bacterium. Its description in RNAcentral is "bacterial SSU rRNA". It matches the Rfam family "Bacterial small subunit ribosomal RNA", at positions 523 to 898 of the family's 1533-position model. The record is from RNAcentral.